UACAAAGGUCUCAAGCGUUGUUCGGAUUCAUUGGGCGUAAAGGGUGCGUAGGCGGUGCGGUAAGUCGGGCGUGAAAUCUCGGAGCUUAACUCCGAAACUGCAUUCGAUACUGCCGUGCUUGAGGACUGGAGAGGAGACUGGAAUUUACGGUGUAGCGGUGAAAUGCGUAGAUAUCGUAAGGAAGACCAGUGGCGAAGGCGGGUCUCUGGACAGUUCCUGACGCUGAGGCACGAAGGUCAGGGAAGCAAACGGG
Molecule: ribosomal RNA, 253 nt
Filed under: uncultured bacterium
Lineage: Bacteria
Description: partial 16S ribosomal RNA
Rfam family: Bacterial small subunit ribosomal RNA
Source: RNAcentral